Molecule: ribosomal RNA, 604 nt
Filed under: fungal sp. P2S26
Lineage: Eukaryota; Fungi
Description: eukaryotic LSU rRNA
Rfam family: 5.8S ribosomal RNA (bases 214-367)
Source: RNAcentral
GCGGAAGGACAUUACCGAGUUUACACUCCCAAACCCAAUGUGAACGUUACCAAACUGUUGCCUCGGCGGGAUCUCUGCCCCGGGUGCGUCGCAGCCCCGGACCAAGGCGCCCGCCGGAGGACCAACCAAAACUCUUUUUGUAUACCCCCUCGCGGGUUUUUUAUAAUCUGAGCCUUCUCGGCGCCUCUCGUAGGCGUUUCGAAAAUGAAUCAAAACUUUCAACAACGGAUCUCUUGGUUCUGGCAUCGAUGAAGAACGCAGCGAAAUGCGAUAAGUAAUGUGAAUUGCAGAAUUCAGUGAAUCAUCGAAUCUUUGAACGCACAUUGCGCCCGCCAGUAUUCUGGCGGGCAUGCCUGUCCGAGCGUCAUUUCAACCCUCGAACCCCUCCGGGGGGUCGGCGUUGGGGAUCGGCCCUGCCUCUUGGCGGUGGCCGUCUCCGAAAUACAGUGGCGGUCUCGCCGCAGCCUCUCCUGCGCAGUAGUUUGCACACUCGCAUCGGGAGCGCGGCGCGUCCACAGCCGUUAAACACCCAACUUCUGAAUGUUGACCUCGGAUCAGGUAGGAAUACCCGCUGAACUUAAGCAUAUCAAUAAGCCGGAAGAAU